GGGCUUCCUUCCCCCUCAUGUAAACCAGCCGGGCGCCGGGCGGGGGGACGCUGCCUCCUGAGGGGAGGGGGGGGGAAGGCGAUGGCAGCAGGGCAGCGCCCCACGCACCCACAGCAGCGCUCCAGCAGCCGGCGAGCCUGGCCGCGACGGGUCCCGGGCUGCCGCUCGCCUCGCCGUGCUGCUUAUUAUGAUUAUAUAUAUAUAUUUUUUUCUCUCCUCAAACCCCCUCUCCUCCCCUUUUUCUCCUUCCCUUCCCCCCCCCCCCCCCCCCCCAGCCGCUUCCUGCCUCGGUGCCGCAGCCGGUGCCUCCCUCCUUCCUCCUCCUUUCUCCUCCUCCUUUCUCCUUCUUCUUCUUCUCCUUCUUCUUGUUCUCCUGCCGCCGCCGCCGCUCCCCGCCCGGCCGCCGCCGAGCCCGGUCUCCUCAGGAGCGAGCCGCCGCACGAAAUGACAACCAGCUGGAGGAGGCACCGCGCCACUUCCGCUCCGCCGCCGGGCGCUGCCCCCGCCCCGCCCCGACCCCGCCUCCCCGCCCCGACCCCGCCCCUCCCGGCUUCGCGGCGCCAUUUUGGGAGUGUCAACUCUCAUGCAUCUGCUGAUUGCAGCUGUCAUGGUGUCAUCUGGAAAGAAAGGUGAACCCGCAGUGACUCAACAUGUGAACUUCAGGCGUUCGCGCUGCACACACUGCCCAUUACAGAAACAUCAGGCUGAGGCACCUACUGAACACUGCUGGUGGGGAAACAGAAUUCAAAUCUCAAUGCUGUAAAUUUAAAGUCAUCUUCUACAUUAAAAAACAAACAAAAAAAAAAAAGAAAAAAGAGAAAGAAAGAGUCGUUUUUCUAGGAACAGAAUUAUCAACUGGAUCUUGUGCAGCAAAAGCUGUAUCAAGGCCUGAUGUUUUCUUGAACACCAAAAGCCCUCUCAGGAUGUCCAAGUCUCCAGUUCUAUUUUAAUAUACAUUGGCGUGUUGUGUCCAUACAACACUCUACAGCACAGGGAGACAAUUUACUAAAUUAAAUCAAAAUUCAGAAUUAACACUACACCUAGAAAAUAAGGAUUUAAGGAUGAGUGCACUGUGCUGUAAUAAAAUGUAGAGGAAUCAUUCAUGGUAUUAUUAGUCACGCAGGUGUUCCUCCACAUUACCUUAGGUCUAAUGUAUCACAAGACACAGAACUUGCUCAUGUUCAAUGGUAAUAAAGAUAACCAACAGGCCCAAAAAGCUGCAUCAACAUUUUAUCCUCAACAAUCGCUCCAGAAAGGCUGAGCUACAAACUCCGAGCAAGCUGUCAGUAGCUAAUAUUAGCCUGCACAUAAAGAAAAUUUUUAUUUCAGGGCAAUUUUCAAAGACUGCGGAAAGUGUUCUCUAGGCCUCAGAGAAAAUCCAACUGCUCAUUUUUGUGCUGAUGCAGCUGCAACUGCUGUUUGCUAGAUCAUAUCUCAGCUUGGUCACUGCAAUAUCAAAGUAUGAUUUUAUAAACCCAGUAAACCAUUUAAGUCUUGUGUAAAACACAUUAUACAUGCUAAUAGCUUCAUUUGGCUAAGCUGGCUUUGUCAUAUUUCUGCAUCUGGAUGAAGGUACCACGUAUACUACUGAUAUAGCCUCAUACAUUAAGCAACCCCUUAAUGGCAUACAUUGCCUUGGAGUCUUUAUUCUUUAUGAAGAAAAUCCUUAUCACUGCCCAGAGAACUAUUCUGUGUGCGGUAAUUAUGUAAUAUUAAUGAACAAUAUUAUGUACAACUGUACUUUCCAGCCCUAUUCUUUGUAUGGAAUGUACUUUAGAAUGACCUGACUCUGCAAAAAUGCCUCUAGCCUCCACGACUCAUGUAAAAUACAAUAAAUACAUAAAUAAUUUAAAAGAGGAAAUAGUGUUGUGACAGCAGUGGUGUUCUUAUUGCUGAACUUCAGCAUCUGGUGAUGUGGCCUUUGAAAAUUCUUUUUCUUUUUCUUUUCUUUUCUUUUCUUUUCUUUUCUUUUCUUUUCUUUUCUUUUCUUUUCUUUUCUUUUCUUUUCUUUUCUUUUCUUUUCUUUUCU
Cairina moschata (Muscovy duck) is the source of this 2029-nucleotide long non-coding RNA. The record is from Ensembl. NCBI's taxonomy places the organism in Eukaryota, Metazoa, Chordata, Aves, Anseriformes, Anatidae.